This 464-nucleotide long non-coding RNA is filed under the name Ananas comosus (pineapple). RNAcentral describes it as "long non-coding RNA (ACOM_LNC028284)". Lineage: Eukaryota; Viridiplantae; Streptophyta; Magnoliopsida; Poales; Bromeliaceae. The record is from RNAcentral.
AACAAAAACGACUUCGGGAACCGGUCUCUCAUCCAGAGACCGGUCCCUCGCUGCGUAACAGAAAAACCAUCGCUCUAGAACCGGUUUUACUUUUCAGAGACCGGUUGCCUCAACUUUCCACGCAUAGAGGACCCUCGGGGACCGGUCUCUCAUCUCACGGACCGGUCCCAGAACACUAAAAUGUUCAGAUUUAACUUUUUAAUGCAAUCUAAGUCUUCUAAACUUAUUUUAAUCAAUUAAAAUCACCAUAACUGAUCUAUUCUUCAUACCCGAGUUGCCGAGCUUUCCGAAUGAAUUUUUGAUCUUCAAACUGAAUCUUAGUUUUAAAACUCCGUGUUUGACUCUUCAAGACUCCAUUCGACUUUACGAAAUUCGCCAACCUAGAAAAUCUUUAACAUCACUUACAAUUCCAAUUCUCGCCGACGCUUAUCAGCAUAGCUAUUCUAUCUGCUCUAAGCUGAAAU